RNAcentral lists this ribosomal RNA (440 nucleotides) under uncultured bacterium. RNAcentral describes it as "partial 16S ribosomal RNA". It matches the Rfam family "Bacterial small subunit ribosomal RNA", at positions 338 to 795 of the family's 1533-position model. The record is from RNAcentral.
CCUACGGGAGGCAGCAGUGGGGAAUAUUGGACAAUGGGGGAAACCCUGAUCCAGCGACGCCGCGUGAGUGAAGAAGUAUUUCGGUACGUAAAGCUCUAUCAGCAGGAAAGAAAAUGACGGUACCUGACUAAGAAGCCCCGGCUAACUACGUGCCAGCAGCCGCGGUAAUACGUAGGGGGCAAGCGUUAUCCGGAUUUACUGGGGGUAAAGGGAGCGUAGACGGCAGCGCAAGUCUGGAGUGAAAUGGCGGGGCCCAACCCCGGAACUGCCCUGGAAACUGUAUAGCUUGAGUACUGGAGAGGCAGGCUGAAUUCCUGGUGUAGCGGUGAAAUGCGUAGAUAUUAGGAGGAACACCAGUGGCGAAGGCGGCCCGCUGGACAGAAACUGACGUUGAGGCUCGAAAGCGUGGGGAGCAAACAGGAUUAGAUACCCUUGUAGUC